UGACUAUCAACACAUGCGGCGGAAUGCGGCGGAAUAUGACCUCUCAUACGAAAGAAUAAUACUAGUACACUAUGAUCAUCGUUACUCUGGGAAGGAGGAGCCUGGUUAGGUUCUAGUUUUCGGGGGCUUGACGCCCUAGAAAGGGGGUGCUUCGCUUUGAUUGAUUGAUGAUGCCCUGAACCUUAACCAAGGUCUCUCUACCUCAUCGGUUGUUGGACUCACCCCAAUUAAACCAGGGGUAUUAUGAUACACCUAUUAUUGUCGCCAAUGCUCAAGAAGGUUCGCCAAGGACAUGGAGGCCUCAGAGGGGCAAAAAGGGCAAUCCCUGAGCAGCCGCCACGCAUCUUGCCAUGCGAUGUGACACAGAGCACAUCCAUGUCUGGUAUGCCGCUACUGUGAUCUGAUGGAAG
Molecule: small RNA, 410 nt
Filed under: Histoplasma ohiense
Lineage: Eukaryota; Fungi; Ascomycota; Eurotiomycetes; Onygenales; Ajellomycetaceae
Description: hypothetical lncRNA
Source: RNAcentral